RNAcentral lists this long non-coding RNA (226 nucleotides) under Homo sapiens (human). Its description in RNAcentral is "non-protein coding lnc-CLEC20A-9:1". Lineage: Eukaryota; Metazoa; Chordata; Mammalia; Primates; Hominidae. The record is from RNAcentral.
UAUCACCCCACCCACGAGUGUUCUCAGCACGCACUCACUCCUGCCUCUUCUCUGGUCCCCACACACUCAGCCACCCUGUCCCACCUCUUCUCACCACCAAAUUAAUAUGCUCAUCCUUCUCACCUCAUCCUAGCCCCACCUCCUUCAAGAAUCAGUCCUGAGUCCAUAGCCCCUGCAUCUCCCCCUCACACCCAGAGCACUCCGCCUCCUACAGAUAGCGCUUCCC